Molecule: non-coding RNA, 4300 nt
Organism: Podarcis lilfordi (Lilford's wall lizard)
Lineage: Eukaryota; Metazoa; Chordata; Lepidosauria; Squamata; Lacertidae
Source: the annotation of a GenBank genome assembly
GUUUGGGACCAGGCUACCUGAAGGAUUGCAUUUUAUCAAGUUUAGUGACUCAGAUUGCAAGAUCUUCUUCUGAGGCCCUUCUCUGAGUGUCCCUACAAGGUGAGGUGGGUGGCUGUUUGGAAAAGGGCCUUUUAAAUGGUGGCACCCUGCAUGUGAAAUGUUCUCCCCAUAGAGGCUCAUCUGAUUGCUAAUUUGUCAUCAUUUCAGUACCGAGUUUUUUCUCCCUCCCAUCCCUUUAAAAUUUGCUAGUCUCAAAAUUUCUUUAGUUUACUUUUCUUUUUCUGCUUUUCAAGUUUUCUGCUGUUUGUUGUUUUGCUCUGACUGUUUUUGUUUUUGUAAAUUCUAUAUAGUAACUUGCCCAGAGAACGUUUUAUUAUAGGGUGGCCUAUAAAUGAAGGAAGGAACUGACAUUGUAGUCCAUUUUUUCACAGGUAAAGGUAAAGGGACCCUGACCAUUAGGUCCAGUCAUGGAUGACUCUGGGGUUGCGGCGCUCAUCUCACUUUACUGGCCGAGGGAGCCAGUGUUUGUCCACAGACAGCUUCCGGGUCAUGUGGCCAGCAUAACUAAGCUGCUUCUGGUGAACCAGAGCAGCGCACGGAAACGCUGUUUACCUUCCCGCCAGAGCGGUACCUAUUUCUCUACUUGCACUUGACAUGCUUUCGAACUGCUAGGUUGGCAGGAGCAGGGACCAAGCAAUGGGAGCUCACCCCGUAGCGGGGAUUCGACCUUCUGAUUGGCAAGCCCUAGGCUCUGUGUCUUAAGAAAAUAUGCCAAAAAAAGAGAAACAAAACAAAUCUGGUCCAAAACCCAUCAGUGAGAUUUCAAUAAGGCCUAUACUCACACAGCAAAUAUUUUUAGCUUCUCUCCCCAGCUUUACAAAGGCAUUUGGCAUGAACAAUUUUACUCUCUACCCUUUUGCAAAUGAGUACUAGUAGCAUGUGCAUGUUCAUUUUUUUAUUGUGCCAAUGACAGAUCAGGCAAUAAGUUAUGGAGAAUUGGGAGCAGAAGAUUUGCUGUAUCUUUCUCAUUAUCCGUUAACCACUCAGACUGCAAUGCAUAAUAUCAACAGGGGUUUCUUUUGUAGAUAUAAAAACUUGUUGGUUGAACCACCAAGAUAUUACUACCAAAUUGGCAGGUUUUCUUAGGAACAAGUAAACAGAAGGAUGUCACUCAAUGUUCUGGAAAUAUCUUGCUGGAUAUGAAUGAUAUCUAAAGAAAAUCUAGUUCUUCUAUCAGUCAAAUCAACAGGACAUUUCUCAGAGCAACAGGACUAAAUUGUUUUUUAAAUCUUAUUAUAAAGUAUGUUGCUAAUUCUUUUAUCUAAAAUUUACCCAGAACAACUACGUUUCUUGACCACAUUCCUUGAAAGUUAAUUGGAUUUAUAAAUGCAAUAAAAUCACAAAGGAAACAAUUUUAUGAGCAGAUGGAAAUUCCUUGGAAAUCUGGUGUGCAUAUUUCCAGUGACCAAUUUGUAAAGCAUUCAUUCCUUCUAAUUCCACAGAUUUGGUUUAAGUUAAGAAUUAAUUUGUGCACACUCAAGUUGAAAUGUUUUGAUUUAAUCCCUCACCCAUCCUAGUUAGAGGCUAUUGAAAAACCUGUUGUCAUAUAAAAACAGGUUGAAGGGUGGAAUGGUAGAAUAAAAGAUUCCAUGCCCACAACAAAUCAUAACAUCAAGGCCAUGGAGGCUUAACAUUUGGCUAUGGGCUUUGGUUUUACAAGCUGCACAAUAGAGGAUCUCACAGGCCAAGUUAUUCAAAGAUUAAUCAAAAUACUUAUUCUUGGCAGGCUAAGGAAGCCUUAUUUUUCAGAUUUAAUUAGGAUAUGGACUGAAAGGUCAGGAGCACCAGAUUUGGCUUUCAAAAAACCAAGUUGGCUUUUAAGAACUGAUGCACAAUGUCACAGUGAGCCUUGGGCUCCCUUGCUCUGUCCCCUCUUCUCUUUUAUGCCCAAAGGUUUUCACUACCCUGAGUUCCUCUUCUUGACAUACAAUCUCAGGGAACAGUGGUUUAAACUAUGCUAUGAAAACAGGCCAGAAUAUGAAAUCAUGGUUUCGUCUUGGCUCAUUCUCACUAAACACAGGCUCCAACUGCACUAUACAUUUAAAGCAUUAUCAUGUGAUUUUCAACAGCCAUGGCUUCCAUCAGAUAAUCUUGGGGACUGCAGUUUGUGAAGAGUCCUGAGAAUUAUUAGGAAACCUCUAUCCCUCACAUUAGGGAUGUGGGUGGCGCUGUGGGUUAAACCACAGAGCCUAGGACUUGCCGAUCAGAAGGUUGGCCGUUCGAAUCCCCACAACGGGGUGAGCUCCCGUUGCUCAGUCCCUGCUCCUGCCAACCUAGCAGUUCGAAAGCACGUCAAAGUGCAAGUAGAUAAAUAGGUCCCACUCCAGCGGGAAGGUAAACGGCGUUUCCGUACACUGCUCUGGUUCGCCAGAAGCAGCUUAGUCAUGCUGGCCACAUGACCUGGAAGCUGUACGCAGGCUCCCUCAGCCAAUAAAGCGAGAUGAGCGCCGCAACCCCAGAGUCGGCCACGACUGGACCUAAUGGUCAGGGGUUCCUUUACCUGUUUACUUAUCCCUCACAUUGAGCUACAGUUCUCAACCCCUGUUCCCAAGGAACUCUGAGAACAGGAUGUGUGUGUCUCCUAACAACUCUCAGCACACUUAGCAAACUACAUUUCCCAGGGGAAGCCAUGACUGUUAAAAAUUACAUGAUAAUGCUUUAAAUAUAUAGGACAGAUGGGACCAUGGUUUAAACAAAUCACAGUUCCUAAAAUUCAUAUAAUGAGGGGGAACUGCGGUUAGUUUACAAAUUAAAAGUUGAAGCUUUCAAUCUCCUUGCAAUUAAAAAAGAAGUGAAAAGCUGGAGAGAGAGCAUAGAAGCCUGUGCCCGUGGAUUCUCAUUUUGAAUGAGUCCUUCAAAUGUUAUAUAACUCCUCGAGUGCUUUGAUUCAAGGCAACCACAAACAUUUUUUAUCACUUUUCUCCUCUUUUGCAGGGGGGAAGAGGAGCAAAGUAAAGAAGUUCCACUCUAUACAAAUUCCAGUGAGCAAAUCCAAUAUAGCAGCUGCUACCCAUUUAAUCUGAAAGUACCUAUCAAAAAGAGCAAUUCACUAUGCACCUGUGACCAGUGAUGACUUUCUAUUGUUGCUGAAUUCUCAGAAUCUACUCUGCUCUUCAGAAGCGUAUCAGUAUUGUGUGCCCAACUUAGCUUGGAAUGCUGACAAGGUUGCAUUUCUUCUCCCUUGAAUUCCACAAUUAAUGUUUACUCCAUGAACUGAAUUAUUGAGGCAAUAUCCUUACUUGUGACCUUGGAAUCUAUACAACCAUCAGCAAAAACUAUUGGGGGGGCUAUUGUCCCCCCCAAAAAAUCAAGCCAGAAUUGGCAUCUAUGGUAAAUAUGGAUAUAAGACAAAACAGAACUGGUGAUUGAGUCAUAUUUAACAUUGGUUCAAGGCACUGUGACAAAAAUAAGCUUCUGUUUUGCUAGUGAUAGUCCUCAUGUCAAUUGUCUACAAGAGCCUCCCUUUUUGUAGAGCAUUUAUAUACAGUUAGAUAACAGCAAUUCCCCCACCUCUGGGUCAAAACUGUGACUGUGUGAUGGUGAAUUCAGAAUAAGUCAAUUACACUUGCUUCCAGACAUUAAAAUUGGUAGAAUUAUAUAACACAUGGAUAGGCAUGGUUUGCAUUUAAAUGUGAACCUGUCUAAUUCAUACUGUCUAAACAUUAGGAAGAACUUCCUGACAGUAAGAGCUGUUCGACAGUGGAAUUUGCUGCCAAGGAGUGUGGUGGAGUCUCCUUCUUUGGAGGUCUUUAAGCAGAGGCUUGACAACCAUAUGUCAGGAGUGCUCUGAUGGUGUUUUCUGCUUGGCAGGGGGUUGGACUUGAUGGCCCUUGUGGUCUCUUCCAACUCUAUGAUUCUAUGAUUCUAUGAUUCUAUACUUCCGGAAACAAUACAGAAACUGAACCACAGUUAUCCUUUGAAAUUUACAUGUCUCUGAAUUUUGUGAUACAGUUCUCCAUCCAGAAAACAAGUACAAAAUAUGUACACUGGGAAAGUACAAACAAAAAUGCAUGCAUUAGUGAAAGAACAUGUAAAACUGCAUUGUUUGCAAAACUGCAAAGUGGUGUGCAUAUUAAAAAAGUGUGUGUAUUGUAUAUGAAAAUGGGUAUGAAUUUUCAUGCAGGCUAAUGAAAAAAAUUCAGAGACUGAUGUGGAAAUGGACUUAACUUAAGAUUGGAAAAAUGAGAAACUGAGAGAAAAUGACCGUUGAAAGAUAGAAGAAAACUUUACUUUUUUGACC